CAAAAAAAAAUCAUCCGAAUCGAAUACCGUUUAAACAUUCAAAUGCAUCAUAAGAAAUCAACCGUGUAGGUAACAAGUAACAUAUUCAUAAUGAGUUGUUGAUUUGUUUGAUAUAUUUGGAUGACUAAAGAAUAUUUGAUUCGAAUGAUUUUUUUACGAAUCUAAAAUCAGUUUGAAGUUUUUAUAGAUGGUGUUAGUUUAUAGUUUUGGUUUGGUUAAGUAACAAGUCUAUUGGUGUAUGACCGAAAUUCUAAAAUUUUGGUUUGCUUGUUUUGGCUAGGUUUAUUGGUGUUUGCACUUUUGUCUCCCCUUAAAAUGAUUCAAAACUAGUGAAAUUCUAUUAAAUGUAUGUGUUUUUAUCUCUAUACAUACACUGUGCGAGGGAUUGAAGCUCAACUAGUAAUUAAGUGAUUACAAAAUGUUAGAUAAAGCGGAUUAGAAAUGCAAUUCAUUGGCAUUACAAAAGCAUGUGGCCCUUA
RNAcentral lists this long non-coding RNA (479 nucleotides) under Malus domestica (apple). Its description in RNAcentral is "long non-coding RNA (MDOM_LNC017827)". Lineage: Eukaryota; Viridiplantae; Streptophyta; Magnoliopsida; Rosales; Rosaceae. The record is from RNAcentral.